GCCUGUGUGGUGCACUGUUUUGAGUGUUGGACUAUGACUCUAAAGACCAGAGUUCGAAUCCCUGCUCAGCA
This is a non-coding RNA of Phrynosoma platyrhinos (Desert horned lizard), 71 nucleotides long. The record is from the annotation of a GenBank genome assembly. Lineage: Eukaryota; Metazoa; Chordata; Lepidosauria; Squamata; Phrynosomatidae.